AUUGGACGCUGGCGGCAUGCCUUACACAUGCAAGUCGAACGGUAACAGGUCUUCGGAUGCUGACGAGUGGCGAACGGGUGAGUAAUACAUCGGAACGUGCCUAGUAGUGGGGGAUAACUACUCGAAAGAGUGGCUAAUACCGCAUGAGAUCUACGGAUGAAAGCAGGGGAUCGCAAGACCUUGUGCUACUAGAGCGGCCGAUGGCAGAUUAGGUAGUUGGUGGGAUAAAAGCUUACCAAGCCGACGAUCUGUAGCUGGUCUGAGAGGACGAUCAGCCACACUGGGACUGAGACACGGCCCAGACUCCUACGGGAGGCAGCAGUGUGGAAUUUUGGACAAUGGGCGCAAGCCUGAUCCAGCAAUGCCGCGUGCAGGAUGAAGGCCUUCGGGUUGUAAACUGCUUUUGUACGGAACGAAAAGCCCCGGGUUAAUACCCUGGGGUCAUGACGGUACCCUAAGAAUAAGCACCGGCUAACUACGUGCCAGCCGCCGCCGUAA
This 498-nucleotide ribosomal RNA is filed under the name uncultured bacterium. Its description in RNAcentral is "partial 16S ribosomal RNA". It matches the Rfam family "Bacterial small subunit ribosomal RNA", at positions 30 to 523 of the family's 1533-position model. The record is from RNAcentral.